UACGAAGGGUGCAAGCGUUAAUCGGAAUUACUGGGCGUAAAGCGUGCGUAGGCGGUUUGUUAAGUCUGAUGUGAAAGCCCCGGGCUCAACCUGGGAAUUGCAUUGGAAACUGGCGAGCUAGAGUGCGGUAGAGGGUGGCGGAAUUCCCGGUGUAGCGGUGAAAUGCGUAGAGAUCGGGAGGAACAUCCGUGGCGAAGGCGGCCACCUGGACCAGCACUGACGCUGAGGCACGAAAGCGUGGGGAGCAAAC
RNAcentral lists this ribosomal RNA (250 nucleotides) under uncultured bacterium. RNAcentral describes it as "partial 16S ribosomal RNA". It matches the Rfam family "Bacterial small subunit ribosomal RNA", at positions 524 to 773 of the family's 1533-position model. The record is from RNAcentral.